UUGGCUCAGGAUGAACGCUGGCGGCGUGCCUAACACAUGCAAGUCGAACGGAGCAUAGACGCUGUGAGAAGAAUCAGCUUGCUGAGGAAGCGAACUUGUUUAUGCUUAGUGGCGGACGGGUGAGUAACGCGUGGAUAACCUGGCUCACACAGGGGGAUAGCAGUUGGAAACGACUGAUAAUACCGCAUAAGCGCACGAUAUCGCAUGAUAAAGUGUGAAAAGAUUUAUCGGUGUGAGAUGGAUCCGCGUCUGAUUAGCCAGUUGGCGGGGUAACGGCCCACCAAAGCGACGAUCAGUAGCCGGCCUGAGAGGGCGGACGGCCACAUUGGGACUGAGACACGGCCCAGACUCCUACGGGAGGCAGCAGUGGGGAAUA
Molecule: ribosomal RNA, 376 nt
Filed under: uncultured rumen bacterium
Lineage: Bacteria
Description: bacterial SSU rRNA
Rfam family: Bacterial small subunit ribosomal RNA
Source: RNAcentral